ACAUCCCUUCUCUCCCACUUCACACCUCGGAACGCACCNAGGCAGAAGGGAGCUUGACUGCAAGACCCACCCGUCGAGCAGGGACGAAAGUCGGCCUUAGUGAUCCGACGGUGCCGAGUGGAAGGGCCGUCGCUCAA
Molecule: non-coding RNA, 137 nt
Filed under: Nicotiana sylvestris (wood tobacco)
Lineage: Eukaryota; Viridiplantae; Streptophyta; Magnoliopsida; Solanales; Solanaceae
Description: Bacterial large subunit ribosomal RNA
Rfam family: Bacterial large subunit ribosomal RNA
Source: Rfam by way of RNAcentral